This 23-nucleotide microRNA is filed under the name Mus musculus (house mouse). RNAcentral's name for it is "mmu-miR-6929-3p". Lineage: Eukaryota; Metazoa; Chordata; Mammalia; Rodentia; Muridae. The record is from miRBase by way of RNAcentral.
CAGGUGCUGUCUUCUUCUUCCAG